Molecule: ribosomal RNA, 253 nt
Filed under: uncultured bacterium
Lineage: Bacteria
Description: partial 16S ribosomal RNA
Rfam family: Bacterial small subunit ribosomal RNA
Source: RNAcentral
UACGUAGGGUGCAAGCGUUGUCCGGAAUUAUUGGGCGUAAAGAGCUCGUAGGCGGUUUGUCACGUCGGCCGUGAAAACUCGGGGCUCAACCCCGAGCCCGCGGUCGAUACGGGCAGACUAGAGUGCUGUAGGGGAGACUGGAAUUCCUGGUGUAGCGGUGAAAUGCGCAGAUAUCAGGAGGAACACCGGUGGCGAAGGCGGGUCUCUGGGCAGUAACUGACGCUGAGGAGCGAAAGCGUGGGGAGCGAACAGG